Long non-coding RNA from Phragmites australis (common reed), 628 nucleotides. RefSeq lists it as uncharacterized. The transcript is spliced from 4 exons. The record is from RefSeq and is a predicted model, not a curated record. Lineage: Eukaryota; Viridiplantae; Streptophyta; Magnoliopsida; Poales; Poaceae.
CCCAUUACGCUCCCUGCCCUAAACCCUAAACCCUACUGCGCUCCCUGCCUCUUUCUUUAUUUUUUUCCCGUGCCAAACCCUGCCAGUAGCUGCCAUCGCUUCUUCGUUUCCUGCUGCGUGCGCCAGGAAGAGGGGAGAAUUGUGCAGCAGCCGCAGCCUGCACAUCCCGCCGCAGCCGUUCCUCUUUUCCCAUUCAAGGGUACAGCAAGGUCGCAGCAAAGUUGCGGCAAGGUCGCAGCGAGGAAUUGAGGAGAGAUCGCCGUGGGAACUAUUGCCGUCGAUGUCGCCUUCGCUGUUUUCAAGGGAAAACCCUAGAAGUAGAUGAUUGUGGUGCAUUUCACUAUAUCUCCUCACCUCAUGCUGAUGGGUGUGUGUUGGGGAUCAAUUACCUUCCGAAUGCAGGUUUCUUCAAACUCAGGUCUUGCUAUGCCCAUUUGCUGCUUCGCUUCAUAAGGUUCGUCGAGGCUGAUCUCAUUAUAUGCAACCGAGGAGGUUUUUGACCAGUUUGACUGAAACCACGUUUUAUAUACUUGUCGGUUGACACUCGUUACUGUAGAUCGCGCUAGAGGUACAAUUCUGCAAAAUUUGGAACUAUUGUUCAUAAAAUAAUUACAUGACCUGUUUUUUU